UCUUCACCAUCCUAGACCAUACUAGGUAGUUACUGCCCUUGAAAGUUACCGCAACCUUCAUCUUGGAACCACUCUCCAUCUUCAACAGUUUCACUUCAAUAACUUGUAAAAGACUUGAUCUUGAGACUUAGAACUACAACACCAGCUCAAACCCUUCUGUGCCUUGUCUUUACUCUUCAAAGAACCCUCAAAAAGCUAGAUAAGACUUCCGGAAUGAAGAUGUAGCUCCCGGGAUGCA
RNAcentral lists this long non-coding RNA (238 nucleotides) under Brassica napus (rape). Its description in RNAcentral is "long non-coding RNA (BNAP_LNC022103)". The record is from RNAcentral. Lineage: Eukaryota; Viridiplantae; Streptophyta; Magnoliopsida; Brassicales; Brassicaceae.